GACGCCGCUCGCCGUCGCCGGCGAACUAAUGUCGAAUCCGACGUGGUUCGCAGCCGGGAAGAUCCACGACGCCUUGGCUCGGAUGGAUAACGAUUAUUUGAGGUCGGCUUUGGACUAUCUCGAGAUUCAGCCAAACAUAUCGGCGUUGGUCCGUGGUGCUCAUACUUUCCGGUGCCCCAAUUUGGGGAUCACGAGCUGGGUCAGACUGCCGAUUCACGACGCCGAUUUCGGGUGG
Molecule: unclassified non-coding RNA, 235 nt
Filed under: Hevea brasiliensis (rubber tree)
Lineage: Eukaryota; Viridiplantae; Streptophyta; Magnoliopsida; Malpighiales; Euphorbiaceae
Source: RNAcentral